AGCGAACGCUGGCGGCAGGCUUAAUACAUGCAAGUCGAGCGGGCGUAGCAAUACGUCAGCGGCAGACGGGUGAGUAACGCGUGGGAACGUACCUUUUGGUUCGGAACAACACAGGGAAACUUGUGCUAAUACCGGAUAAGCCCUUACGGGGAAAGAUUUAUCGCCGAAAGAUCGGCCCGCGUCUGAUUAGCUAGUUGGUGAGGUAACGGCUCACCAAGGCGACGAUCAGUAGCUGGUCUGAGAGGAUGAUCAGCCACAUUGGGACUGAGACACGGCCCAAACUCCUACGGGAGGCAGCAGUGGGGAAUAUUGGACAAUGGGCGCAAGCCUGAUCCAGCCAUGCCGCGUGAGUGAUGAAGGCCCUAGGGUUGUAAAGCUCUUUUGUGCGGGAAGAUAAUGACGGUACCGCAAGAAUAAGCCCCGGCUAACUUCGUGCCAGCAGCCGCGGUAAU
This 452-nucleotide ribosomal RNA is filed under the name uncultured bacterium. RNAcentral's name for it is "bacterial SSU rRNA". It matches the Rfam family "Bacterial small subunit ribosomal RNA", at positions 29 to 524 of the family's 1533-position model. The record is from RNAcentral.